This 305-nucleotide ribosomal RNA is filed under the name uncultured bacterium. Its description in RNAcentral is "bacterial SSU rRNA". It matches the Rfam family "Bacterial small subunit ribosomal RNA", at positions 333 to 636 of the family's 1533-position model. The record is from RNAcentral.
UCGUUCCUACGGGGGGCAGCAGUGAGGAAUAUUGGUCAAUAGUCGGGAGACUGAACCAGCCAAGCCGCGUGAGGGAGGAAGGUACAGAGUAUCGUAAACCUCUUUUGUCAGGGAACAAAGACUGGGACGCGUCCCCGGAUGAGUGUACCUGAAGAAAAAGCAUCGGCUAACUCCGUACCAGCAGCCGCGGUAAUACGGAGGAUGCGAGCGUUAUCCGGAUUUAUUGGGUUUAAAGGGUGCGCAGGCGGUCUGUUAAGUCAGCGGUCAAAGCCCGGGGCUCAACCCCGGCCCGCCGUUGAAACUGG